AAGUCGUAACAAGGUUUCCGUAGGUGAACCUGCGGAAGGAUCAUUACAAAUCCCCAAAAAUACCCGUUGAAAUGUUUUCGGCCUUGGGGUAUAGGAUUGAAGCGAGACGCCCACGGGUAGUAGUAGCCGAAUGAUCUUAUACUAACGAUCACGAAUCAGUGAUUAAUAAACCAAGGUUCGACUUAAUGACUUUUACUUAGACAUCUUGUACCACCUUAUCGUUAAAUCGAUAAAACAAAUACAACUUUUAACAAUGGAUCUCUAGGCUCUU
RNAcentral lists this unclassified non-coding RNA (271 nucleotides) under fungal sp. RNAcentral describes it as "partial internal transcribed spacer region". The stretch from base 1 to 46 matches the Rfam family "Eukaryotic small subunit ribosomal RNA", at positions 1786 to 1831 of the family's 1831-position model. Lineage: Eukaryota; Fungi. The record is from RNAcentral.